This 506-nucleotide ribosomal RNA is filed under the name uncultured bacterium. RNAcentral's name for it is "bacterial SSU rRNA". It matches the Rfam family "Bacterial small subunit ribosomal RNA", at positions 58 to 573 of the family's 1533-position model. The record is from RNAcentral.
CAAGUCGAACGAAUCCAGGGGGCUUGCUCUCUGGGGGAAGUGGCGAAAGGGGCAGUAAUGCGUGGGUAACCUACCCCGGGGACGGGGAUAGCCGCCCUAACGGGCGGGUAAUACCUGGCGAUCUGGCGAGAGGGCAUCCCCUUGUCAGGAAAUGAAUUUCGCCUCGGGAGGGGCUCACGUGGUAUUAGCUUGUUGGUGGGAUAACGGCCCACCAAGGCCGAGAUGCCUGGCGGGUGUGAGAGCACGACCCGCGCCACUGGCACUGUGACACUGGCCAGACUCCUACGGGAGGCUGCAGUCGAGGAUCUUCGGCAAUGGGCGCAAGCCUGACCGAGCGACGCCGCGUGUGCGAUGAAGGCCUUCGGGUUGUAAAGCACUGUCGAGGGGGAGGAAGCCGCAAGGUUGAUCGACCCCUGGAGGAAGCACGGGCUAAGUUCGUGCCAGCAGCCGCGGUAAGACGAACCGUGCGAACGUCGUUCGGAUUCACUGGGCUUAAAGGGCGCGUA